AACCACUCACGCCUGGCGUGGUAUUGGGGCACGCGGUCUCGCGGCCCUCAAAAUCAGUGGCGGCGCCGGUGGGCUCUAAGCGUAGUACAUACUCCCGCUAUAGAGUUCCCCCCGGUGGCUUGCUAGAACCCCCCAAUUUUUACA
This 144-nucleotide unclassified non-coding RNA is filed under the name uncultured Phialocephala. RNAcentral's name for it is "sequence contains ITS2". Lineage: Eukaryota; Fungi; Ascomycota; Leotiomycetes; Helotiales. The record is from RNAcentral.